CUUGCAUGGAAUAAUAGAACAAGACCUCGUUUCUGUUCUGUUGGUUUUUGGAAUACGAGGUAAUGAUUAAGAGGGACAGACGGGGGCAUUCGUAUUGCGGCGCUAGAGGUGAAAUUCUUGGACCGUCGCAAGACGAACUACUGCGAAAGCAUUUGCCAAGAAUGUUUUCUUUGAUCAAGAACGAAAGUCAGAGGUUCGAAGGCGAUCAGAUACCGCCCUAGUUCUGACCAUAAACGAUGCCAACCAGCGAUCCGCCUGAGUUACUCAAAUGACUCGGCGGGCAGCUUCCGGGAG
This 294-nucleotide ribosomal RNA is filed under the name Streptococcus pneumoniae. RNAcentral describes it as "partial 16S ribosomal RNA". It matches the Rfam family "Eukaryotic small subunit ribosomal RNA", at positions 804 to 1096 of the family's 1831-position model. Lineage: Bacteria; Bacillati; Bacillota; Bacilli; Lactobacillales; Streptococcaceae. The record is from RNAcentral.